Long non-coding RNA from Gossypium raimondii (Peruvian cotton), 1079 nucleotides. RefSeq lists it as uncharacterized. The transcript is spliced from 4 exons. The record is from RefSeq and is a predicted model, not a curated record. NCBI's taxonomy places the organism in Eukaryota, Viridiplantae, Streptophyta, Magnoliopsida, Malvales, Malvaceae.
UUGUAUGGUUUUGGUAGUAAUAUAAAAGACAUACAAAAAGAGAAACAUAAAAACAGAUAAACUAUUAUAGCUUCUAGUGAUCAGAUUUUGGUUUACAUAGAAAACUAUACAGACAACUUGGGAAGCUGAAGAGGAUGGUCAACAGCUGGGUUGAGAAGGUGUUUUCGAGGUCCACGAUAGCUUCCAUGAUUCAUCCGCUGCCUCAUCUGAUGUGAUUGUGCAGCAUGAGCAAGUGAAGCAUCAGCAGUUGCAGUGGCUGAACCGAUCCUUGGGGAGGAGGCAAAAAUCAAGAGGAAAAGAAGAAGGGAUGUAAACAAGGUCUUCAAUUGCACCAUUAUUUGUUGGUUUCAGCUCUAAAUUCCUGAUGUAUCAUGAAGUGAAGAUGUUUUUAUAAAGCAAAAACUCAAAGCCAAGCAAAGUAGUUUACUUUGCUUUGGAUUGAAGUCACGAGGCGGUUCCAUCUUGAACACUUGGAGGGUUCGUCAACCGUUUUCCUUGGACCAUCUCCAUUGCUUGAUGACCACCACCAUUAACUUCAAUCAUUAAUCUCUCCCACAUAUCAGUAUCUUCACCAGCCCACACUUUCAAACGACCCCAGUUCAUUGAACAUCAAUAACGACGGCCGAUGCAGUAUUCCGGGGGUUGUCGAUUGUCAUUGUGUGUUCUGGGCAAAAGAAGAAAAAGAGGAGCAAAGCCAUGUUUCAUUUCCAGGGAAGGAGCCUUCAUUAACAGACUCCGAUCUUUAACCUUUGAGGUCCACCUUCUACGGGUUGAACAAGCACAGUCCCUUGUUGGAUCAAGAAGUACUAAACUCGAGGUUAGACAAAGGGAAGAAUAAAGUUGAAGACUAAGUUGGUGAAUUUGGCUAUAAUUGGUACCGAGUAUUGCAAGCUACUUCAAGGAUCCUAAAGAAGUCGGAGAUCGUCCACACUAUCAACCACAACUGCUCGGUAUUUUAUGUCGAAACACGUUUGAGUUAUGGCAUGUAUAGGGAUUUAGUUAUUCUAAAUGUUUGUAUUUAUGAUCUUUCUAAAGAAUGAUGUGUAAGUAUUUGAUGAUGAAUGGUUGCUAAAAUGGUU